This 75-nucleotide transfer RNA is filed under the name Holophaga sp. Its description in RNAcentral is "tRNA-Glu". It matches the Rfam family "tRNA". From Rfam's summary of the family: Transfer RNA (tRNA) molecules are approximately 80 nucleotides in length. Their secondary structure includes four short double-helical elements and three loops (D, anti-codon, and T loops). Lineage: Bacteria; Pseudomonadati; Acidobacteriota; Holophagae; Holophagales; Holophagaceae. The record is from RNAcentral.
GGCCCCAUCGUCUAGCGGUUAGGACGUCGCCCUCUCACGGCGGUAGCAGGGGUUCGAGUCCCCUUGGGGCUACCA